This 106-nucleotide small nuclear RNA is filed under the name Moschus moschiferus (Siberian musk deer). Its description in RNAcentral is "U2 spliceosomal RNA (ENSMMSG00000013515.1)". It matches the Rfam family "U2 spliceosomal RNA". From Rfam's summary of the family: U2 is a small nuclear RNA (snRNA) component of the spliceosome (involved in pre-mRNA splicing). Complementary binding between U2 snRNA (in an area lying towards the 5' end but 3' to hairpin I) and the branchpoint sequence (BPS) of the intron results the bulging out of an unpaired adenosine, on the BPS, which initiates a nucleophilic attack at the intronic 5' splice site, thus starting the first of two transesterification reactions that mediate splicing. The record is from Rfam by way of RNAcentral. Lineage: Eukaryota; Metazoa; Chordata; Mammalia; Artiodactyla; Moschidae.
AUAGCUUCUCGGUUUUAUGGCUAAGAUCCAGUAUAGUAUCUGUUCUUGUCAAAAUACCAUGGACAGUCUUAUCCAAUCUAUAAAAAAUUAAAAGUAUGCAUACAAA